GAGUACGUUCAGGUUUAGCGAGAACUGCUAAUUCCUCGCUCCCAUGGCUCAAUUCCAUGGCUUACUCA
RNAcentral lists this transfer RNA (68 nucleotides) under Allobates undulatus. RNAcentral's name for it is "tRNA-Ser". The record is from RNAcentral. Lineage: Eukaryota; Metazoa; Chordata; Amphibia; Anura; Aromobatidae.